Molecule: small RNA, 148 nt
Filed under: Pongo abelii (Sumatran orangutan)
Lineage: Eukaryota; Metazoa; Chordata; Mammalia; Primates; Hominidae
Description: Metazoan signal recognition particle RNA (ENSPPYG00000036276.1)
Source: Rfam by way of RNAcentral
GCUGGGCAUGGUGGUGCAUGCCUGUAAUCCCAGCUACCUGAGAGGCUGAGGCAGGAGAAUCACUUGAACCCAGGAGGCGGAGACUGCAGUGAGUGGAGAUUGUGCCACUGCACUCCAGCCUGGGUGACAGAGUGAGACUCUGUCUCAA